AGCCAUUUCUUAAUCACUGUUAUCACACUUCAGCCAGGAUAUUUUCUGUUGAAUGGAAGGAUUUUAUUAUCUUCAUGGUGGCUCAUCUCGGCAAGCAUUCAAUUUCUCUGAGCUGCUUCAGAAUAUCCACAGAACAAACUUGGGCUUCAUCAAAGCUGUUUCCAGGAAAACUCAGAAAAAACAAAUGUGGAGGAGCUCACCCUACCACCAAUCUAUCCAUGAACAUCCAACACUCUUCCACCCAGUCCCAGCCUGCCUGAAUAUCUUCUGGCAACAAUUAAGAGGAAGGACUCCCCCCCCCCCGGGAUGUCCCUCCAUGACAGGUCAGCAUGCAAUGGUUCACUCUCAUCACCUGCUACCUUGUAUGCCUUCUGCAGGCAGAAAGGGACCGCACCCAGUUUUCCUAAUUUCUGUUCAGUGAGGACAUCAGAGACCAGUAAGAUUUGCUGAUUAAAACAACAACAAAUACUGAUGUUUACUGAUAUUUUACUGAUAAAAAUGUUCUGGUCUGCAAUA
Rhineura floridana is the source of this 516-nucleotide long non-coding RNA. RefSeq lists it as uncharacterized. The transcript is spliced from 3 exons. The record is from RefSeq and is a predicted model, not a curated record. Lineage: Eukaryota; Metazoa; Chordata; Lepidosauria; Squamata; Rhineuridae.